GAUAGAGGUGCGGUAAAGGCGUGUAAUCGGACGGAGGCUGCCGGAGCCUGUGAGAGCCGAUGAAUAGAGUUGCCGCCGAAAAGCAGGAGAGCGGCGUUUCCUGCUUUGGUCAUUCAUCGGAGCGAUGUCUGACUGUCACCAUAUUUUUAUGGUGGGGAGCUAUCGU
RNAcentral lists this non-coding RNA (166 nucleotides) under bovine gut metagenome. RNAcentral's name for it is "Lysine riboswitch". It matches the Rfam family "Lysine riboswitch aptamer". From Rfam's summary of the family: Riboswitches are metabolite binding domains within certain messenger RNAs that serve as precision sensors for their corresponding targets. Allosteric rearrangement of mRNA structure is mediated by ligand binding, and this results in modulation of gene expression. The record is from RNAcentral.